Molecule: ribosomal RNA, 2047 nt
Filed under: Triticum aestivum (bread wheat)
Lineage: Eukaryota; Viridiplantae; Streptophyta; Magnoliopsida; Poales; Poaceae
Description: partial small subunit ribosomal RNA
Source: RNAcentral
GGGGUUGGAGGCCUAGAGGGGUCAGGGUCACUGCGGGUGGAGGGGGACUGGGGCGGAGGUGGGCUGCAGCGGCGGGGGCGGGGGAGGGUGAGGGCGGGGCGGCCGUUCAGCCCGCGGCGGUACGGGCGGGAAGGGAAACUGGCUAGAGGAGGAAGGAGAGGCAGCUGCGGCACCCUCGUGGGUAGGGCGACGGGUCUGGGAUUGGCCACUGCGGCGGUGGCGCUGCGUCGGCGUCGGUGCGGGGACGUCCGCCGCGGCGGCGUCGGGGUGGGGGUGGCCGCUGCGUUGGCGUCGGGGCUGGGAUCGGCUACUGCGCGGUGUGGUGGACGGUCUCGUGGAACCCCUUCGGGCUAGGCCGCUCCUAGGAAGUGGUGGGAGGUGAGAGGCCGCUGGUGGUCGGGCGCACGCCUACCCCACGAUAGGACGUCUAGCUCCUCCGCAGCUUGAAGUCUACCUCCUCCGGUCUUGGACGUAGACCGGUGCGGUACCAACGCGCAGUGGCCGUAGGAGGCAGUGCGAGCCGUCGAGGACUCGCAACCUCACUUCCCGUAAAAGAAGUCCCGUCACCUCUCGUGGGAGUGGGACUAGGCUAGACGUCGUCGCAGGGGCUCAGGAGGGUUUCGUCGGGACUCGGCAAGUUCAUACGUCGGGGCCCGGCAAGUUUCUGCCUCGACGGCUGGCAAGCACUUGUGUUGUGGGGCUUAGGACGACGGGUGGUAGGACAUUUCCCUCUGAAUAACACUUCUGAAGUUCGACUCAUCUCUUCUGAGCUAAUUUCCUUCUCCCCUCAACCAAGAGAAAACUCCAACGCUGAGCUAAUUAGCUAAUUAAUGUCGAAUAAAAGCUGGAAGGACACGAUCAUCUAGAAAGGGGUUAAGACUAGAAGAAAGCCAACGACAAACCUAACUAAGGGAGGUGAGAAGAAGCUGGCGCGAGUAUUUAUGCCGGAACAUUAGAACACCUUUCCUCGUCACGUCACGUACACUUAUGUAUACCGGACUUCGACGAUAUUAACAGGUUUUAGGCCACAAACGACGACGUUAGGUUCACUUCAUAUAAACCUUUGUACGGACGGAGCUCAGAAGAAGAGACCAUACGAGCGUAGUGUGUCGUACUGUCACAUGAUGUGUUUUAUCGUACCCUCACUAAGGACGUUUUCGAGUUUAAGACGACUGUUCAACACACGACGCAAACCGUGAAAAGUCAGGACUUGGUCGUCAGGAGCUCCGUCCUACAUGAUGAUGGACCUGAGUAGACGGGGCCUCCGUGUUGUGCUUGGUUCGGGGUACAAAAAGUCACUGACUGAGUCAUCAGGAACUACCAGCUUGUAGGCCGUCGAUCGGGCAUGACGUGGUGGUAUAGAACGGUAGAAUACUAGGGUCGUUUUACAACUUCAUUUUGUGUGUGGUGGUCCUCCUCUCAUAUACAGUUCCUUCCUGACCACUUUAUCGUCCCGUCUCUACGGUGUCAUUACGACUCGGCUUCACCAUCGUACACACGCUCUUCUGAGCAAACAAACCCAACCCCUCGGUCGGCUCGGUCGCGUGUGAACCACCUGUCAGAUAGACCAAGCAUGCGGGCCGGCACUAUAACACAGGCUUUUCUUCUGAGUUUACCCGUGCAAGUUGAUGACACAGGGUUGGGUACUUUUGAACACCGGGCAGUACCAGAUGAAUGUGGAUUUGCCGAUGGUAAAAAGAUAAUCACUUUAAAGGAGACACAACCUAAAUACUUCUACCUUGUCUAGUGACAAAUCUCAAAACAACCAUGCGACAACGACGUCAAAUUUUACUUUCUCUCUCUCUCUCUCUAAAGAAAAUUCUCUACUCGCAACGACGGCAGGAAUCAAUUUCUUUACUCUUCUCUCUCUCUCUCUCUCGCGUCUAUCCUAUAUCACCCACCCACGACCUAUCUUUGGUGAUUGAAAUCUUCUUUUUCAUAAAGAAAUAGACCGUGAAUCACCCACACAGAAAGAGACUUAUCACCCAUCACAUCCGUAUAUGGUACGAAACGGAUAAAGUACAGGAGAAGUUAACCAUUUAACAGC